GCCGGGCGCAGUGGCUUACGCCUGUAAUCCCAGCACUUUGGGAGGCCGAGGUGGGUGGAUCACCUGAGGUCAGGAGUUCAAGACCAACCUGGCCAACAUGGUGAAACCCCAUCUCUA
This 117-nucleotide non-coding RNA is filed under the name Pan paniscus (pygmy chimpanzee). The record is from Rfam by way of RNAcentral. Lineage: Eukaryota; Metazoa; Chordata; Mammalia; Primates; Hominidae. RNAcentral also lists the same sequence under 1 other name.